This is a long non-coding RNA of Triticum urartu, 2687 nucleotides long. RefSeq lists it as uncharacterized. NCBI's taxonomy places the organism in Eukaryota, Viridiplantae, Streptophyta, Magnoliopsida, Poales, Poaceae. The record is from RefSeq and is a predicted model, not a curated record.
GAAAGCGCACGCACACGCGGACAUCUCCUUCUUUCUCUCAACACGCACGAACUCCUCCUGACCAGCGUUGGCCGCCGCCGAUCUGGACUCUCCGGCUCCCGUGCUCCCCCCCCAUCCCGCGCUGCUAAGGGAAGGAAGGGCAUGGCCCUGCGAGCGGCCGCGACGAGGCUUGCAUCCUCCAUCCGCCGCCACAGCCACCUCCCAAUGUCCGAGUUGCUGCUCCCGUGUCGUGAUUGGAGACCGUGUCCUUUUCCAACUGCAAUCAAUGGAUUUCCCUACCCGGAUUUGAGUCGCCUGGUAUAAGAAGGAAGGGUCCUCGGCCGGAAUCUCCAUCAGGUUGCGUCCUUGGACCAGAAGCUCCAUCAAAUCCCAUCGAAAUUGCAAUUUUCCUUGAAACAUCCAAUUUCGCCGCCGAGUUCGCUGGAGGAAGAAACGCCGAGUUCGCCGGAGGAACAAGAACGUCCGUCCAACCGUCCAAUGUCGCUGCUGGUGGCUACACCAGAGGUAUAUAUCCCCUUGAUAUUCAUUGGAUGCAAUUCCCUGUUUUAGAUGUUGUUUCUGUCCCCUGCCAUUGACUACGCAACAAGGGAUGGAACCUGAGGCACAGCCGCUAUGGUGCUGAGAAGGAGGCGGCUGUGGCACCCGACAAAUGCUGGACUCGGAUUUGAUGCUCAAUUAGGGCGGCCACACACAUGACUCUGCCCAAGAUUCAACUGCAGGUGGCUCGGAUAAAAAGGAUUGCAACAUAGAACUGUUGAUAAGAUGGUUAGUUUUGGAAGGGGAAUGGUAGUAUGAGCAGAGAUUGAAAACAAGGCUGCAGUGCAAACACUCUUGCUCAACCAAUUUAAGCUCAACGUCAGCUGUUGAUUAAACAUUGGAUAUACUCCCCCAAAUGACAUCGUUGCACUACACUGGACCUGACGAGGAGGGGAUCCAGCUAGAUGUCUGAUGGCACUUCCACAUGUAUAAGCUUUGAGCUUAGGUUGUAUUUCUGAGGGGAGCAUACUUAUUAUUACCUUAAUUGGGUUUGACUUUUGGCUACUGUAUUGCUGUCACAACUUACCUGCGAAAUAGAAAGAGAGUCAUGUUUGAUAAGGAUAUGUACCGAGUAAUGAGUAUGUACAGAAGUGUUGGUUCUUGGUUCUUGCAUGGAGGUGAGCAAUUAUGGGUUGCAAACGUUGUUGCUGCCCAUCACCUGGUCCAAUUGAAGCACAACCAAUAGGCUGCCUUGAAUAAAGGAGUUCUCAAAGAUGAUGUCUUUUAGCACGACCAUUUUUAUUGAUUUAGUUUCUGUACAAUUUUGGGGCAUCCAAACUUGGAAAGUUUCAUCCUUCAAGUUAAAUUGGGACAAUCCAUUCAUUAAUUUCAGCGAAAAAUAUUGGUACUAUUCUUCCUAUUUUUAUUCACAUUCGUAGAAAUAUAUGUUUAAUGAUGGCUCUGCAAUUUUCCUAUUAGUAUGCAUGAUUUUUCUUUUUGAUUGCUCACCCUUGUACUUUUUGCAGUAAGAUCAUAAAUGACAAUUAUAACGGUGGCGAUUUUUACCAUCAAUUCCUUAUUUUUCACUUCUCUCACACUCAUGAUAGGUUGAUAUAUAUUUCCAGUUAUCUUUACAUCUUCAAUAUGUUGAUGUAGCUCCAAUCCCAUGAUACAAUCAAUUCAUUUUCCGCAGCCCAUCUCAUGCAGGCAGAUGGGGCGAUACAUUCAUGAGCUUGCCACUAUGCUUAACUAGCUUGUUCAACUUCUCUUGUGAGAUCAAAUUACUUUGACGUGAAUUUUCAUAGCUCUUUGUGCUCUUUCCUUCUUGCUGAACCAAUGUUUCCUCAUGAGGUGACCCUGAUUAUGUGGACCCUGAUUUGACUUGGAGUCUGCCUUAACUAACGCCUCUGAUAUUUAGAUAGAGACAAGGGGACGGGUGAAUCCUGCGGAGGCGGACGAGGUCACAAGGAGGUGUACGCCAAGGCCGAUCCCAUCAGGAACUACAUCUACCGCCGUCGCCUCUCCUGUGAGCGUCUGGGAGCCCCUCCUCGGCUCCUCCCACAAACACAUAGCGGCGUCUUAAGCAUGUCCGCCGCUCGCUGCCGCCGGCUGGUCGUCGUCUCCCUCACCGGCAUCCCAACGAAUCCAUCGGCAGUAGCCUUCCUCUCUUCGAUCUUGACGUCCGUUUCGUUCGUCGUUAUCCAGCCCCUUUCUCCCUGAGACGGCAAGGAGAUGGACGCUGCCGAGAUUAGGUCAAGCGCGGCAAAGCAUACCAGACCCGAUCCAGCACCAUCCUCCCUGCUGUGGCAAGGAGACGGGCGCUUCACAGGCGAAGUCGGGCCCGAUGAAGUAGGCUGGAUCGAUCUCCUGCACGUACCAGUCGGUGCCGACUACUACUGAACCCCAUCCAUGGAUGCAAGGUCUCCGUGCUCAUCGUCGACGGCUGCACCCUGGCCAAGUCACUCAUCAUUCGCGAGUACAUCCAUACCGCUUGACGGUGCAGCUGACAUGUACGAGGGUGCCGACGCUUGACGGAGACGAGAGCACAGAAGAGGCUGCCGCCAUCGAACCCUGUCAGAGCAUGCCACGCCGACCCACGGAAGCAGGCUGCCAUCGUUGAACCUGGCCAGCCACGAUAGUGCAUGAAUAAGGGCGCCGCAAUCGAACCGGCAUGCUGCGUGCGUGAAGCCGUGGAGUACCAAGGUGCAGGC